UAGGGAAUCUUCGGCAAUGGGGGGAACCCUGACCGAGCAACGCCGCGUGAGUGAAGAAGGUUUUCGGAUCGUAAAGCUCUGUUGUUAAGGAAGAACGAGUGUGAGAAUGGAAAGUUCAUACUGUGACGGUACUUAACCAGAAAGGGACGGCUAACUACGUGCCAGCAGCCGCGGUAAUACGUAGGUGGCAAGCGUUGUCCGGAUUUAUUGGGCGUAAAGCGAGCGCAGGCGGUCAAUUAAGUCUGAUGUGAAAGCCCCCGGCUCAACCGGGGAGGGUCAUUGGAAACUGGUUGGCUUGAGUGCAGAAGAGGAGAGUGGAAUUCCAUGUGUAGCGGUGAAAUGCGUAGAUAUAUGGAGGAACACCAGUGGCGAAGGCGACUCUCUGGUCUGUAACUGACACUGAGGUUCGAAAGCGUGGGUAGCAAACAGG
Molecule: ribosomal RNA, 430 nt
Filed under: Bacteroidota bacterium
Lineage: Bacteria; Pseudomonadati; Bacteroidota
Description: Bacteroidetes bacterium partial 16S ribosomal RNA
Rfam family: Bacterial small subunit ribosomal RNA
Source: RNAcentral